GCGAAGACAAAAAAAAAGCAAAAUAAAUACAUGAUUUAGCCAAAGACCCAAGUCCUAGCAUCGCUUUUAGUGCAACAUAUUAGAGAAGCAUAACGUAUUCCUAACGAUGGCUGCUUUUAGCAGUACGUUAAAAGAAGUACACUGAAUAGGUGUGGUGUAGUACGGCCCUUGUACCUGGACAACUGGGAAAAAAUAUGACAAAGAAAACAGUUUUCAUAACAGUUUCGAAGCCGAACCGAUAGGACGCCCCUGUAAUCCAAGCCCAAAGACCAGAUGAUCGUUUCUUGCCGCGAGAAAUACCUUUCUUUCCCAGCGGAUCGCCUGUUGUUUAUAGGAGUAAAUUGCUGGAGGUGUGUUCGAUGCGUGCAGAACCCCAACGGAAGGUCCGGUAAAGCAAAAUGAGUAAGGAAUGCAUGCAAAAUCAGCCUGGAAGAACAAUAGGAAAAAUCACGGACACGACAGAACAUGACGCGGUAAAUAACCGCUUCAUCCAAAAGAAGGUUCCAGGCACGCGGGUUUGUUUAUCGUGUCGCUCGGUAUUCACAGAAUCUCUCCCCAAUGACAUCAUUCUACACUAUCUACGAGUGCGGCAUGAACCGUGCUGCCGCUGCUUGUAUUGCAAUGGACCUAUGUACCGCUACAGGGACAGCAAGGACAAUUUGCAAUUCUACCAUGACUGUCAGCGAUCAAAGCGCCUUUUGGAUAAUCCCUGAAAAAGACAACAGUUGCAGAACCUAAUAUUCCAAAAUCCCGGGUUUUAAAGCAAUAAAAUACAUUUUUUAAA
This is a long non-coding RNA of Anopheles aquasalis, 784 nucleotides long. RefSeq lists it as uncharacterized. The record is from RefSeq and is a predicted model, not a curated record. Lineage: Eukaryota; Metazoa; Arthropoda; Insecta; Diptera; Culicidae.